GAAGGGGGCUAGCGUUGUUCGGAAUUACUGGGCGUAAAGCGUACGUAGGCGGAUUUGUAAGUAGGGGGUGAAAUCCCCAGGCUCAACCUGGGAACUGCCUUCUAGACUGCAAGUCUUGAGAUCAGGAGAGGCGAGUGGAAUUCCGAGUGUAGAGGUGAAAUUCGUAGAUAUUCGGAGGAACACCAGUGGCGUAGGCGACUCGCUGGACUGAUACUGACGCUGAGGUACGAAAGCGUGGGGAGCAAACAGGAUUAGAUACCCUGGUAGUCCACGCCUUAAACGAUGAGAGCUAGUUGUCAGUAAGCAUGCUUAUUGGUGACGCAGCUAACGCAUUAAGCUCUCCGCCUGGGGAGUACGGCCGCAAGGUUA
Molecule: ribosomal RNA, 369 nt
Filed under: uncultured organism
Description: bacterial SSU rRNA
Rfam family: Bacterial small subunit ribosomal RNA
Source: RNAcentral